RNAcentral lists this ribosomal RNA (478 nucleotides) under uncultured bacterium. RNAcentral's name for it is "bacterial SSU rRNA". It matches the Rfam family "Bacterial small subunit ribosomal RNA", at positions 15 to 518 of the family's 1533-position model. The record is from RNAcentral.
GAUUCUGGCUACAGAACGAACGCUGGCGGCAUGGAUUAGGCAUGCAAGUUGAACGAACUCCUUCGGGAGUGAGUAGCGGAAGGGUGAGGAACGCGUGAGUAAUCUGCCCCCCAGUUGGGAAUAACAGUUGGAAACGACUGCUAAUACCGAAUGUGGCUUAAGCUUCGCCUGGAGCUUUGGCUAAAGAUUUAUCGCUGGGGGAUGAGCUCGCGUCCCAUUAGGUAGUUGGUGAGGUAACGGCUCACCAAGCCGACGAUGGGUAGCUGGUCUGAGAGGAUGGUCAGCCACACUGGGACUGAGACACUGCCCAGACUCCUACGGGAGGCUGCAGUCGAGAAUCUUGGGCAAUGCGCGAAAGCGUGACCCAGCAAUGCCGCGUGUAUGAUGAAGGCCCUCGGGUCGUAAAGUACUGUCUCCCGUGACGAAAUUUGACGGUAGCGGGGAAGGAAGCCACGGCUAACUACGUGCCAGCCGCGGC